CGUACACUCCUGCGGGAGGCAGCAGUGGGGAAUAUUGGACAAUGGGCGCAAGCCUGAUCCAGCCAUGCCGCGUGAGUGAUGAAGGCCCUAGGGUUGUAAAGCUCUUUCACCGGUGAAGAUAAUGACGGUAACCGGAGAAGAAGCCCCGGCUAACUUCGUGCCAGCAGCCGCGGUAAUACGAAGGGGGCUAGCGUUGUUCGGAUUUACUGGGCGUAAAGCGCACGUAGGCGGACUAUUAAGUCAGGGGUGAAAUCCCGGGGCUCAACCCCGGAACGGCCUUUGAUACUGGUAGUCUUGAGUUCGAGAGAGGUGAGUGGAAUUCCGAGUGUAGAGGUGAAAUUCGUAGAUAUUCGGAGGAACACCAGUGGCGAAGGCGGCUCACUGGCUCGAUACUGACGCUGAGGUGCGAAAGCGUGGGGAGCAAACAGGAUUAGAAACCCCGGUAGUCCCAUG
RNAcentral lists this ribosomal RNA (453 nucleotides) under uncultured organism. RNAcentral's name for it is "partial 16S ribosomal RNA". It matches the Rfam family "Bacterial small subunit ribosomal RNA", at positions 330 to 799 of the family's 1533-position model. The record is from RNAcentral.